This 2771-nucleotide ribosomal RNA is filed under the name Klebsiella pneumoniae 4541-2. RNAcentral describes it as "bacterial LSU rRNA". It matches the Rfam family "Bacterial large subunit ribosomal RNA". Lineage: Bacteria; Pseudomonadati; Pseudomonadota; Gammaproteobacteria; Enterobacterales; Enterobacteriaceae. The record is from RNAcentral.
AGCGUACACGGUGGAUGCCCUGGCAGUCAGAGGCGAUGAAGGACGUGCUAAUCUGCGAAAAGCGUCGGUAAGGUGAUAUGAACCGUUAUAACCGGCGAUGUCCGAAUGGGGAAACCCAGUGCAAUUCGUUGCACUAUCGUUAACUGAAUACAUAGGUUAACGAGGCGAACCGGGGGAACUGAAACAUCUAAGUACCCCGAGGAAAAGAAAUCAACCGAGAUUCCCCCAGUAGCGGCGAGCGAACGGGGAGCAGCCCAGAGUCUGAAUCAGCUUGUGUGUUAGUGGAACGGUCUGGAAAGUCCGACGGUACAGGGUGAUAGUCCCGUACACCAAAAUGCACAGGUUGUGAACUCGAAGAGUAGGGCGGGACACGUGGUAUCCUGUCUGAAUAUGGGGGGACCAUCCUCCAAGGCUAAAUACUCCUGACUGACCGAUAGUGAACCAGUACCGUGAGGGAAAGGCGAAAAGAACCCCGGCGAGGGGAGUGAAAAAGAACCUGAAACCGUGUACGUACAAGCAGUGGGAGCACCUUCGGGUGUGACUGCGUACCUUUUGUAUAAUGGGUCAGCGACUUAUAUUCUGUAGCAAGGUUAACCGUAUAGGGGAGCCGCAGGGAAACCGAGUCUUAACUGGGCGUUAAGUUGCAGGGUAUAGACCCGAAACCCGGUGAUCUAGCCAUGGGCAGGUUGAAGGUUGGGUAACACUAACUGGAGGACCGAACCGACUAAUGUUGAAAAAUUAGCGGAUGACUUGUGGCUGGGGGUGAAAGGCCAAUCAAACCGGGAGAUAGCUGGUUCUCCCCGAAAGCUAUUUAGGUAGCGCCUCGUGAAUUCAUCUUCGGGGGUAGAGCACUGUUUCGGCUAGGGGGUCAUCCCGACUUACCAACCCGAUGCAAACUACGAAUACCGAAGAAUGUUAUCACGGGAGACACACGGCGGGUGCUAACGUCCGUCGUGAAGAGGGAAACAACCCAGACCGCCAGCUAAGGUCCCAAAGUCAUGGUUAAGUGGGAAACGAUGUGGGAAGGCACAGACAGCCAGGAUGUUGGCUUAGAAGCAGCCAUCAUUUAAAGAAAGCGUAAUAGCUCACUGGUCGAGUCGGCCUGCGCGGAAGAUGUAACGGGGCUAAACCAUGCACCGAAGCUGCGGCAGCGACACUAUGUGUUGUUGGGUAGGGGAGCGUUCUGUAAGCCUGCGAAGGUGUGCUGUGAGGGUUGCUGGAGGUAUCAGAAGUGCGAAUGCUGACAUAAGUAACGAUAAAGCGGGUGAAAAGCCCGCUCGCCGGAAGACCAAGGGUUCCUGUCCAACGUUAAUCGGGGCAGGGUGAGUCGACCCCUAAGGCGAGGCCGAAAGGCGUAGUCGAUGGGAAACAGGUUAAUAUUCCUGUACUUGGUGUUACUGCGAAGGGGGGACGGAGAAGGCUAUGUUAGCCGGGCGACGGUUGUCCCGGUUUAAGCAUGUAGGCUGGUUGUCCAGGCAAAUCCGGAUAAUCAAGGCUGAGGUGUGAUGACGAGGCACUACGGUGCUGAAGUAACAAAUGCCCUGCUUCCAGGAAAAGCCUCUAAGCAUCAGGUAACAUCAAAUCGUACCCCAAACCGACACAGGUGGUCAGGUAGAGAAUACCAAGGCGCUUGAGAGAACUCGGGUGAAGGAACUAGGCAAAAUGGUGCCGUAACUUCGGGAGAAGGCACGCUGGUGUGUAGGUGAAGUCCCUGCGGAUGGAGCUGAGACCAGUCGAAGAUACCAGCUGGCUGCAACUGUUUAUUAAAAACACAGCACUGUGCAAACACGAAAGUGGACGUAUACGGUGUGACGCCUGCCCGGUGCCGGAAGGUUAAUUGAUGGGGUUAUCCGUAAGGAGAAGCUCUUGAUCGAAGCCCCGGUAAACGGCGGCCGUAACUAUAACGGUCCUAAGGUAGCGAAAUUCCUUGUCGGGUAAGUUCCGACCUGCACGAAUGGCGUAAUGAUGGCCAGGCUGUCUCCACCCGAGACUCAGUGAAAUUGAACUCGCUGUGAAGAUGCAGUGUACCCGCGGCAAGACGGAAAGACCCCGUGAACCUUUACUAUAGCUUGACACUGAACAUUGAGCCUUGAUGUGUAGGAUAGGUGGGAGGCUUUGAAGCGUGGACGCCAGUCUGCGUGGAGCCAACCUUGAAAUACCACCCUUUAAUGUUUGAUGUUCUAACGUUGGCCCCUUAUCGGGGUUGCGGACAGUGUCUGGUGGGUAGUUUGACUGGGGCGGUCUCCUCCCAAAGCGUAACGGAGGAGCACGAAGGUUAGCUAAUCCUGGUCGGACAUCAGGAGGUUAGUGCAAUGGCAUAAGCUAGCUUGACUGCGAGCGUGACGGCGCGAGCAGGUGCGAAAGCAGGUCAUAGUGAUCCGGUGGUUCUGAAUGGAAGGGCCAUCGCUCAACGGAUAAAAGGUACUCCGGGGAUAACAGGCUGAUACCGCCCAAGAGUUCAUAUCGACGGCGGUGUUUGGCACCUCGAUGUCGGCUCAUCACAUCCUGGGGCUGAAGUAGGUCCCAAGGGUAUGGCUGUUCGCCAUUUAAAGUGGUACGCGAGCUGGGUUUAGAACGUCGUGAGACAGUUCGGUCCCUAUCUGCCGUGGGCGCUGGAGAAUUGAGGGGGGCUGCUCCUAGUACGAGAGGACCGGAGUGGACGCAUCACUGGUGUUCGGGUUGUCAUGCCAAUGGCACUGCCCGGUAGCUAAAUGCGGAAGAGAUAAGUGCUGAAAGCAUCUAAGCACGAAACUUGCCCCGAGAUGAGUUCU